Molecule: ribosomal RNA, 253 nt
Filed under: uncultured bacterium
Lineage: Bacteria
Description: partial 16S ribosomal RNA
Rfam family: Bacterial small subunit ribosomal RNA
Source: RNAcentral
UACAUGGGGUGCAAACGUUGCUCGGAAUUAUUGGGCGCAAAGCGCACGUAGGCGGUUUGUUAAGUCGGAUGUGAAAUCCCUCGGCUCAACUGAGGAAGUGCAUCCGAAACUGGCAAGCUUGAGUACGAAAGAGGAUCGCGGAAUUCCCGGUGUAGAGGUGAAAUUCGUAGAUAUCGGGAGGAACACCGGUGGCGAAGGCGGCGAUCUGGGUCGAUACUGACGCUGAGGUGCGAAAGCGUGGGGAGCAAACAGG